AUGUUUGCUUUGAAUCCCGCCAACUCAUUUGCUGCUUUUAAUGCACAAAAGGUAUGCAAACUUGCUUCUAAAAUUUGUAUUGCUUUCAAAUUGGUAUUGAAUCUCUUCAACUCAUUCGUUUCUUUUAAUGCACACAAGGUACGAAGACUUGCUGAGUUUUAUCCCAAAGACUUUUCAAGUGCCGACUUGAUACACCUUGAACUACAACUUGAUAAAUAUAUUGAUGACAUGAGAAAUGAUGAGAACUUCCAAGGCCUUGGAAAUCUUGUUGAUCUCUCUGUUAAGCUUGUUCAAAUAGGGAGACACAUAGUACAUCAUUUGGUGUACUUGCUUUUGAAAUUGGUAUUGAUUCUACCGGUGGCAACGGCAAAAUGUUGA
RNAcentral lists this ribosomal RNA (378 nucleotides) under Triticum aestivum (bread wheat). Its description in RNAcentral is "partial small subunit ribosomal RNA". Lineage: Eukaryota; Viridiplantae; Streptophyta; Magnoliopsida; Poales; Poaceae. The record is from RNAcentral.